Molecule: ribosomal RNA, 433 nt
Filed under: uncultured bacterium
Lineage: Bacteria
Description: partial 16S ribosomal RNA
Rfam family: Bacterial small subunit ribosomal RNA
Source: RNAcentral
AACGAACGCUGGCGGCAUGCCUAACACAUGCAAGUCGAACGAGACCUUCGGGUCUAGUGGCGCACGGGUGCGUAACGCGUGGGAACCUGCCCUUAGGCUCGGAAUAACUCCCCGACAGGGGUGCUAAUACCGGAUAAUGUCCUCGGACCAAACAUUUAUCGCCUUUGGAUGGGCCCGCGUUGGAUUAGCUAGUUGGUAGGGUAAAAGCCUACCAAGGCGACGCUCCAUAGCUGGUCUGAGAGGAUGAUCAGCCACACUGGGACUGAGACACGGCCCAGACUCCUACGGGAGGCAGCAGUGGGGAAUAUUGGACAAUGGGCGAAAGCCUGAUCCAGCAAUGCCGCGUGAGUGAUGAAGGCCUUAGGGUUGUAAAGCUCUUUUACCCGGGAUGAUAAUGACAGUACCGGGAGAAUAAGCUCCGGCUAACUCCGUG